UGGCAGGUGUUCAUUUACUGGGGUUU
RNAcentral lists this non-coding RNA (26 nucleotides) under Mus musculus (house mouse). Lineage: Eukaryota; Metazoa; Chordata; Mammalia; Rodentia; Muridae. The record is from RNAcentral.